Molecule: long non-coding RNA, 1176 nt
Organism: Mauremys mutica (yellowpond turtle)
Lineage: Eukaryota; Metazoa; Chordata; Testudines; Geoemydidae
Exons: 7
Source: RefSeq, a predicted model, not a curated record
UCUGGCAGAAUCCCCUAGUACUACCAUCCUGCCACAGGGCAGAAGCCCUGAGCUGCCCCUCUAGUCAGGUAGGCGAUGUAUGAGGGGCUCCAGGAGCCGCACUUUAACUGUAAAAGAGCCACAUGCAGCUCAAGAGCCACAGUUUGAUCACUCCUGUGAUACAGAGUUUUCUUCCUAGUGCAUGUGCAACGUGCCUCAGGUGGCACAUGACCAGGAUUUUAUCACCGAAUUUGGUCUGCUGGUUGGAUCAUUAGCUUCUCUGGCCCGGGCACAGUACUGACAGGAUCCAGAAUAUCAUGAAUGAUCAUUGGCCCUUCAGUAAUAAAGAGGAACUGGACUUCAGGAAGAGCAACAGAAGAGUUAAGAGUCCUUUAGAGUGCUGACUGCCUGCUGGAAGAUGAUGAGUCCUUUCAACUCAAACUGACUUAUGUCUAUCCAGGGUGCUCAGCAUCUUACAAAAUUAUACCAUCACCGGUCUGAGCUCAAUGCAGAUGGAGUGUGAGAUUUAAGAGGAAGACAUGAUCUGCACAGGGGGGAAAAAAAGAGACUCAUCUGAGGGUGAACUUCAAAUAUCUUCUGGACUAUAACUGGAGGACAAGGAAACCACCCUGUUACUAUGCAGCUAGGAAGUAGACAGACAUGUUUGAAUUCAUGAAAAUGGGAUCACAACCAGUCCUAGGCUGGAAAUAUCGCAAAUUUUUUUGCAUGAGAUAAGACUACUUUAGACAGGAGGUUUGAUUAGACUCUUCAGACACCUUCCAACAAAUUGGGUUAAGAACAGAUCAAUAAGGGUUAGAAUAGACCUACCACCACACACUGAACAAGAAGAAAACAAGAUACUGAACAGCUGCUCACUAAGUGACCACCAUUCAUCUGCACAAGGAACAUGGAAGCGUACCUAUGGAAAAAUAGGUCUGGAGCUGCUUUGAGUUUGUGUGUCUAUAUCACUAGAAGGUGACUUCUUUUCACAACGAUCACUGCAUAUCUGACCUCUCGGUUCUCAUCUUCAAAGAAAUCCUGAACAACACCUUCAAAAGACAAGCCUAGGAGCUGAGGUUCAUAACUUUCUAAGACACUAAAAAUCAUGCAUUUAAGAAAGACACUGAAUUUAUGGCUUAUUACAAUAACCUGUAACUCACUAAUCCCCUUUUCGUCCUGUGUUGGGAAAGGUGUUAA